UACGAAGGGGGCAAGCGUUGUUCGGAUUUAUUGGGCGUAAAGGGUGCGUAGGCGGUUUGGCAAGUCUGAUGUGAAAUCUAUGGGCUCAACCCAUAGUCUGCAUCAGAAACUGCCGGGCUUGAGUGUGGGAGAGGUGAGUGGAAUUCCUGGUGUAGCGGUGAAAUGCGUAGAUAUCAGGAGGAACACCUGUGGCGAAAGCGGCUCACUGGACCAUAACUGACGCUGAUGCACGAAAGCUAGGGGAGCAAACAGG
This 253-nucleotide ribosomal RNA is filed under the name uncultured bacterium. RNAcentral describes it as "partial 16S ribosomal RNA". It matches the Rfam family "Bacterial small subunit ribosomal RNA", at positions 524 to 776 of the family's 1533-position model. The record is from RNAcentral.